CAAGUUGUUCUAGGCACUACUUCAUACGAAAAUUGGUAAGUGCUUAUAGAUAACUUGUCAUUCUUUUGGGGAUAUCUCAACACAUUUGAGAAAUAGUCUUGAUCUAUGCAAGUUUCUUUUAAAGACUCCUCUUUUGUGCUCAUGCUUGCAAGUGUUCCUUUACAAUAGGUAAGGCUAGGUUGUUCAACAAGAAGCAUGUUUGCAAGGUUAUUU
This 213-nucleotide long non-coding RNA is filed under the name Phaseolus vulgaris (common bean). RNAcentral describes it as "long non-coding RNA (PVUL_LNC004902)". Lineage: Eukaryota; Viridiplantae; Streptophyta; Magnoliopsida; Fabales; Fabaceae. The record is from RNAcentral.